UGGGGAAUAUUGGACAAUGGGCGCAAGCCUGAUCCAGCCAUGCCGCGUGAGUGAUGAAGGCCCUAGGGUUGUAAAGCUCUUUCACCGGUGAAGAUAAUGACGGUAACCGGAGAAGAAGCCCCGGCUAACUUCGUGCCAGCAGCCGCGGUAAUACGAAGGGGGCUAGCGUUGUUCGGAUUUACUGGGCGUAAAGCGCACGUAGGCGGACUAUUAAGUCAGGGGUGAAAUCCUGGGGCUCAACCCCGGAACUGCCUUUGAUACUGGUAGUCUUGAGUUCGAGAGAGGUGAGUGGAAUUCCGAGUGUAGAGGUGAAAUUCGUAGAUAUUCGGAGGAACACCAGUGGCGAAGGCGGCUCACUGGCUCGAUACUGACGCUGAGGUGCGAAAGCGUGGGGAGCAAACAGG
RNAcentral lists this ribosomal RNA (404 nucleotides) under Actinomycetes bacterium. RNAcentral describes it as "Actinobacteria bacterium partial 16S ribosomal RNA". It matches the Rfam family "Bacterial small subunit ribosomal RNA", at positions 355 to 776 of the family's 1533-position model. The record is from RNAcentral. Lineage: Bacteria; Bacillati; Actinomycetota; Actinomycetes.